RNAcentral lists this transfer RNA (68 nucleotides) under Phrynocephalus helioscopus (sunwatcher toadhead agama). RNAcentral describes it as "tRNA-Trp". Lineage: Eukaryota; Metazoa; Chordata; Lepidosauria; Squamata; Agamidae. The record is from RNAcentral.
GAAGCUUAGGAUUAAAUGCUAAACCAGUGGCCUUCAACACCACAAACAAGGGAGAACCCUUAGCUUCU